AUGUUUUCGGUUCCCUUUUUACUCUCGAAUUAUCAUGUAGAAAGAUGUUCAGAUUCAGUUCUCUCUGAAAAGGAAGACGGGGCCCUUAGGGACACAGUAGUACCAUUUCAAUUGUGCGAAAGAUCGUGUCCUGGUAGCCUCUCUGCUGUAGUAAGAUGA
This 159-nucleotide ribosomal RNA is filed under the name Triticum aestivum (bread wheat). RNAcentral's name for it is "partial small subunit ribosomal RNA". Lineage: Eukaryota; Viridiplantae; Streptophyta; Magnoliopsida; Poales; Poaceae. The record is from RNAcentral.